Molecule: long non-coding RNA, 4163 nt
Organism: Harpia harpyja (harpy eagle)
Lineage: Eukaryota; Metazoa; Chordata; Aves; Accipitriformes; Accipitridae
Exons: 4
Source: RefSeq, a predicted model, not a curated record
AUGGAAAAGCCCUGUGACUAUCAUGAGCCCAAGAUGUCAUAUUUUCGACCUGGGAUUAGCCAAUCCUCACCUCGGCGGAUGGGGUCAUGCGCGCUGCAGCUGCACCUGUUUUUGCAACCCUUGCGGACCCCCACUCCCCUGCCCUUGCUGGCUUUGCUAUAAAUAGCUUUUUGGCAAGCUCUUCCUUUGCCUAAAUUAGUAAUGGGGUAGGUAGAAAUGUCACCCCUUUUCACAAUUCCUUUAGGAGUUCUGGGAAAGGCACAGAGGUGUGUGAGGAUAUAAUUCAGUGUUAGGGUUUUUUUUUCCUUCAAGCCAGGCAAGCUAUCUGUUUGCCUUCCUCUUCAUUUUUCCCAAUUCCUAUUUGAUUUUUUGCAAUGCAUCCAUGAAUGUCACGAGAAGGAAUUUUUUUGUUUCUGUAACCUUGAUAGGGAAGGCAAGGGAGCCAAUUUUUUUUUGGUUUACUCCUAUUAGUGAAGCUGUUCAGAGAAAGGAACGUGCAGAAGCUGAUGAGUGAAUCCAUUUGGACCGUUAUCUUCUGAACCUUUAGGAGGAGCUUUUUGAACAGCUUAUUCUUUAUACAUAGACACAAAGUCAUAAAAUGAUACUAGCUUUCCAGAGGGCUGCCUCCUCCACAGUUUACUCAUGUAUUGUAGAGCUUUUUAAGGCCUGAAGAAGGGUUUUGUGGCCUAUAAUCUUGUUUGUCUCACCCCAGCUAUGUCUGUUGAUCUAAUAAAAGAUGUUACUUUUCCCUACAAAGCUAUUUUAUGCUCAUCAGCCACGAGGUCAAGCCCAUUUGAUAAAAUGAGCUGAUCAUGGAUAAACAUGGACUGCAACUUAGAAGAUUAUUAACUGUCAGAGGUGUAAGAUUCUGGAAGUCAUGCAGUGGAGAUAUUGAAGGCAAGAAAAGAAAUUGGUUUUAAGAUAGAGCCUGGUAAAUUUAUGAAUGGGAUUAUAGUGAAUGGUCUUUUCUAGUUUAUUAUGCUGUCUUAAUUCUGUGUGUUUAAUGAAUAGACCGCAGCCAGUCUUUCAACUGUACACUAUUUGAUUGAUCCUGGAGACAUCACUUGCAAAUUAUACUUCAUCAUCAUUUCCAAGGUAGCUAAGUAAAAUGAUUGCUCCAGAGAAAUUCAGAGCUUGAAUUCUUGAAUAUGAAUGAGACAUGACUCUCAGGGAAGUUAGAUCUCCAGCAGCUGCUCAUCACUUUAAGCACAGCACAGCAUUUGUAGUGGAGAGUCACCAAGUCAGCCUCUCAGCUGGUGUAAAUUGUCAUUGUGCACUGAAGUGGAGCAAUGCUAAUUUACACCAACUGAAAAUUUGACCUAAGAUUAGCUCUCUGUUCAAAUUUUUCAUGUCCUUCACUGUGUUUCUCUUUUGUCCGUGAGAUAGGAAGGUGUUUUGGUUAAGAAAGCAAACAGUGUGUUACUUCAGUGUUUAUUUUACCACAUUUGACCUGACAUGCUAGGCAAAAACUGGGAGGCUUGGAAGUUGUAUAAAAGUUAGGAGGGGACACUGGUCUCAGCUACCUCUGAUCCAGUCCUUUUUACAUUGGAGUCAUACUAAUCCAAAUAUUUUUGGACCGUGCCAUCCUUGAGGUGAGUGAACAUUGUAUUCUGCCCUGUUGGAUUUACUAAUAUGAAUGGGCUUCAGAAAUACAGGUUGUGUUUUUGCAUUAAAAGAAAAAGAGUAUUUGGCCUAAGAAACAAUAUCAAAAGAAACAAUACAUUUCUAGUAUAGAUAGCAAACAAAAAAUAAUUCUGGCAGUAGCAGCAGCAAUUCCAGAUACUAAAGUAUUGGCUGAGUUGUGUGGGAUCAGUGAAUUCCAGAACAGUGAAGUCCCACUAUCUCUAUAAAGAAUGUUAAAACUCUGUUUCUUCUGAAAACUGGAGGAAUGAAGGACAGAAGGCACAUUUUUUUGUUGUUGGGUUUUGUUUUUUUUUUUUAUUUUAUUUUUUUUAAGCUUAUGGUUGCAAAUCUUCUUCAUGUAGCCCUCAGUGUCAAAGCUCGUUUUUUUUAAGCCUUUUCUUCAUGGUCCUUCCGUGCUCCUGUGGAUGUGUCUGGCUUUUCCUGAGUUUGUUUUUAAACUACUCGACAUGGUUUUUCUAUCACCCGUAUUCAUACUCAUGCACCAAACAUGCAGUGAAAUUGUAUUCACCCACAUAGCUCAAAUUCUCAGAUUCCUGAAUGGCCUCAGACUUACUGUUCCUUUAGGUGGUGGCAUGUGCCUGCCUGUAUUUGGAGAUCUCUGGCAUUUCAGCUGUCUGCUUCCCAAAGAACAAAAAAGACCUUGUACAAAAAACUGUCGGAAAUGAAUGGUGACAGUUACACUUGCCAGCAACAACAAACUUUACCCAACCCGUAAAAAUAUGUCUAUGCAAACGCCAAGUGUUCAUAUAUGCUUUUUUUAGCAAGUUGUUAGCCACAUUUCUCAGUGAGUUAUGUAUUGGUCAUCUGAAACUUCCUUUUUUUGGGGCUUGUUUAUCCCGCAGAUACGUUAUCUACUUGACACUUUACGAAUACAAAUACCAUUCAACAAUGUGCUUCAAUCAAAGAUAGAAAAUGUUCCCUCUCUUUACAUUAUUUUUAGAAUACUAAUGUUUACAAAAAGUUUAAUGUUAUUCUUUGUUAAAACUAAGAUAAAUUUGGCAGAAGCCAAAUUUAAUAUUCAUGGAGGCAUCAUGACAUCAUUUCCUUGGAAUAGUUUAGUUUCUGUGUGUCCACUGACCUUUCUGUUGCAGAAUAUGACUCAUUUAUUCUAAAGCUUUAUUUCAGAAUUUAAAUCCUUCACUAAUCAUAAGACAUUGUUUAUGGUAUGAGCAAGGUUAUGCCAAGGUUCCUUCUGCUAGAGACCUGGGGGAGGGGGCUGGAUGAGACGGCAUACCAACUAGUGAAUGAACAGGCAAAGGAAUGAGAGUAAUUUUCACUUGUGAAUUUUUAAAUCAUGGGUUUAUUUAUUCUUUCCAGAACACUGUGUUAGCUGGGUUGCUAAGAGAGUCCUUCUACAAGGCUUUGGAGGCUGCUCGUAUCUCAACAAUGCAAAAACUGUCAUACCCCCUCUGGAGGAAGGAGAGAUAAUGUUGAAUCUUGCUCCCCAUGCAGUUGAAUCUUUUGGCCAAUGUAGAUUGUACUGAUGGAUGAGAGGAGAGGAAGUAAGCAAAACUUGAAGGUAGUUUGGAAAAUGAAGAAGGAUGGAGAAUGAAUAAGGCAUGAAGUAAGCGUUCAAGCUUUUCACAGCACACACACAGUGAAGAAGCUGAGCUAUAAGGCAUGUUGUUAAUGUGUGAUGAUUCAUCCAGCGCUCCAAAAUAUUCCGACAGUUUUUCAGCAUUCUUUGCUGCUUCUUCCUGACCCUUCCUCCUGCACCGUCCCAGUUCCUGCAUGACUGGUUCCUGUAAGAUGCUUCAGUGCGGUCCCUGUCAGAACGUCAUGAUGCCCUUUAAUCCCAUGUCACUCAGACAUAUGGAACUAAGCGUAUUCUGGACUGCAGCCUUUCAGCCUCAGCCUUGAAAGCCACUUGCCAUAGAGUUUACAAUGGGUAACUUGUCCUCUGAGUUAUUUUGGCUUCAGUUUGGGUUAUUUUGAGUUCUGUUUUAAAGAAACAGAGAAUAUCAGUCCUGAUCCUCAUAUAGGAUAUACACAUAUAGUGUAUACUCUAGUAUACACUCGUUCUUCUGAUAACAUGUAAGAAAAAUCAGGGUGCUUCAGUGUGUUGUAGUUGCUUAUCCAGACAUAACCCUGGGGCAAAAGACAAGUAUACACAGCAGGGUGUGCAGGGCUAACACUAUGAAAAUAUUUUAGAAAGGAAAUGCUGCAAAUAGAAGGCAUGUUAAUGAAUGCACAUUUCUCUUCUUCUGUUCUGUGUGGUUCUCUUCUGUUUGAUGCCGUUAAUACCUGUCUUGCUACUCUUCACUUAUGGCCAUGCUAAAUAUGUCCAGUUCUGUGCUAAGAACAGAGCCCAUGCUGCCUUUUUGUGCUCCCCUUGUCUGCCUCUGCUAGAGGCAGCUGAAAAAAAGAACAAAAUGCUCCCUUCGCUAGGAGUGAACUGCCUGCCUUCAUGGUCAUUGUGACAUGUGGAUACGGGAUCCAAAUCGGACGGCAGAACAAUUACCUCCUGUUUUCUUGAAUCGGUGUACUUCUCAGUGCUAGUCCUUGUACAUUUGAUCUCA